This 1690-nucleotide long non-coding RNA is filed under the name Gouania willdenowi (blunt-snouted clingfish). RNAcentral describes it as "lncRNA (ENSGWIG00000017239.1)". Lineage: Eukaryota; Metazoa; Chordata; Actinopteri; Blenniiformes; Gobiesocidae. The record is from RNAcentral.
UGCAGCUCACUGUGUACUCACAGCUGUACAAAAGAUUACAAAAUGUGAGAUCCCCCCAAAAAAGAACCCCAGAUUGGAGACAUUCAAAGAGGUGAGCUGUAUCUAAAGAUUAUUUUCAUUAAAGAUUGAUCUGUUAAUCAUUUUCAAGAUUAAUUGAUCAGUUGUCUGGUCAAUAUAAAGUCCAAGGUGAUGUCCUCAAAAGUCUUGUUUGGUCCACAACCUAAGGAUAUUAAUGUCACUGUCAUAGAGGACUAAAGAAGCUAGAACUUUUUCACAUUAUAGAAACUUAAAUCAUAUUUGGACAUUAAAAAAAAAAAUUCCUCACUUCCUGUUUUUUAAUGGAUGCUCUUAUUUUAGUGUUUGACCACAAGGUAAUUGCUUUGGAUCUGUGCGGGGGAUAUUGCUUUAUUACUAAGCACUUUGUGUUACAUUUUGUUUGUAUGAAAAGUGCUAUACAAGUAAAGUCAGAUGGAUUGAUUUUAGUUGUUGACAACUAAUUGAUUGACUAAUCUUUGCAGCUCUUCAAAGAGGCGCUGUCUUGAGCCGCCAACAGACACGGAUGAAAUGGAUUCAAGCGACUCAACUAUAAUUCUGGAUCGGUCCACAGAAGGAACUGGCAGCCCAGGCUCAGACGGUAAAGAAAGAAGAAGAUCCCAAAGCCUUCCUGAAGAAGCACCCUCUGCCUUCUCCAGUCCUGAUGCUAACAAGUCUGCAGAUGUUGACAGUCCAGCAAACUUGGUCAGGCACUACAAGACCCUACAAACUUUGUAUAAAAGAAAAAAUCCAAACCACCAGGAUGUCUCUCAUCUCUUGGAUUUGGAAUUUAUGGCCAGAAGAGCAUUCAUUGAUUCAAAUACCGUUCGUGAGGAGGACAGACCCAAGAAGGUUUUAGAAGCAUAUCCUUGUUUUAAAGACAUUGGACAUGUAAGUCAUUAUUGACUGUGCAUGAUUAAAACCAUGGUAUCACACACAAUGUUUAAAAUACCAAUAACCUCUUAAAUCAUAGGUGAUGGAGGAGCUUCAGCGCAUUUUGGAUAAGGAUAAUGCCAACUUCAUCAAUGAAUUGAAGGGAAGAUGGCAUGACUUCUGCCAGAGGGUGCAGUUUUUUGGAGUAUGGAAAAAGGUGCUGAAACCCCCAAUGGGAAUGGACAAAGGUAGGGAAUGCUCUCUUGGUGUUAUUAGAGAAUAGGGUAAAGAGUGGACCUUCAGGCAUGUUUAUUGUCAAGUACAUGAGCUAGUGUUUUGUCGUCCUUUUUCAUCUAUGGUUGCUAUCCGAUUAUUUGCUGAAUGUUUUGUUUUGUUUUUUAAGCAUUGUCUGUUGUACACCUUUUUUUUUUUUUUUUUUUUUUUUUUUAUCUGAUUUUACCUUGUGCACUUUGUCCAAGUGUUAAAGUCAUAAAUUUUUUCCUGAAAAGCUGAACAGGCUCUUGAGAUCCUACGUGUGCUGCCAUCACUGCUCCCCUCCACGUCUGCUUCUCCAAAGAGGGUACGAGAUGUGAGUGAGGCUCUGGUGCAUGUCCUUGAGGUGAGCUGUGUAAAAUGUUGCAGGAUCAUUUUGACUGUAGUAAAAAUGAUAACUGAAGGUGCUUCCCCAGACAACACCCAAUGUAAUUCCUAUUCACAUACUGUAUGUUCUAAGCCUUAAAGGUAGGGUCUGGGAUUCGCAAAACAGCUGGCAGAUUUUGAAAAU